UACGUAGGGGGCAAGCGUUGUCCGGAAUCAUUGGGCGUAAAGAGCGUGUAGGCGGCCCGAUAAGUCCGCUGUGAAAGUCCAGGGCUCAACCCUGGGAUACCGGUGGAUACUGUCGGGCUCGAGUCCGGAAGAGGAGUGUGGAAUUCCUGGUGUAGCGGUGAAAUGACGCAGAUAUCAGGAGGAACACCGGUGGCGAAGGCGGGUCUCUGGGCCGAUACUGACGCUGAGGAGCGAAAGCGUGGGGAGCGAACAGG
This 254-nucleotide ribosomal RNA is filed under the name uncultured bacterium. RNAcentral describes it as "partial 16S ribosomal RNA". It matches the Rfam family "Bacterial small subunit ribosomal RNA", at positions 524 to 776 of the family's 1533-position model. The record is from RNAcentral.